AUUGAACGCUGGCGGCAGGCCUAACACAUGCAAGUCGAGCGGAUGAAGGGAGCUUGCUCCUGGAUUCAGCGGAGGACGGGAGAGUAAUGCCUAGGAAUCUGCCUGGUAGUGGGGGCUAACGUCCGGAAACGGGCGCUAAUACCGCAUACGUCCUGAGGGAGAUAGUGGGGGAUCUUCGGACCUCACGCUAUCAGAUGAGACUUGGUCGGAUUAGCUAGUUGGUGGGGUAAAGGCCUACCAAGGCGACGAUCCGUAACUGGUCUGAGAGGAUGAUCUGUCACACUGGAACUGAGACACGGCCCAGACUCCUACGGGAGGCAGCAGUGGGGAAUAUUGGACAAUGGGCGAAAGCCUGAUCCAGCCAUGCCGCGUGUGUGAAGAAGGUCUUCGGAUUGUAAAGCACUUUAAGUUGGGAAGAAGGGCAGGAAGUUAAUACCUUGCUGUUUUGACGGUACCAACAGAGUAAGCACCGGCUAACUUCGUG
RNAcentral lists this ribosomal RNA (484 nucleotides) under uncultured bacterium. RNAcentral describes it as "partial 16S ribosomal RNA". It matches the Rfam family "Bacterial small subunit ribosomal RNA", at positions 30 to 507 of the family's 1533-position model. The record is from RNAcentral.